Molecule: small nucleolar RNA, 65 nt
Organism: Thamnophis elegans (Western terrestrial garter snake)
Lineage: Eukaryota; Metazoa; Chordata; Lepidosauria; Squamata; Natricidae
Product: small nucleolar RNA SNORD42
Exons: 1
Source: RefSeq, a predicted model, not a curated record
GUGCAGAUGAUGGAAACUUUUUCCGACUGAGCUAUGUGAUGUUUUCAAAGGAACCACUGAUGCAC